Molecule: ribosomal RNA, 849 nt
Filed under: Ganoderma sinense
Lineage: Eukaryota; Fungi; Basidiomycota; Agaricomycetes; Polyporales; Polyporaceae
Description: partial large subunit ribosomal RNA
Rfam family: Eukaryotic large subunit ribosomal RNA
Source: RNAcentral
UCCCCUAGUAACUGCGAGUGAAGCGGGAAAAGCUCAAAUUUAAAAUCUGGCGGUCUUUGGCCGUCCGAGUUGUAGUCUGGAGAAGUGCUUUCCGCGCUGGACCGUGUAUAAGUCUCUUGGAACAGAGCGUCAUAGAGGGUGAGAAUCCCGUCUUUGACACGGACUACCAGUGCUUUGUGAUGCGCUCUCAAAGAGUCGAGUUGUUUGGGAAUGCAGCUCAAAAUGGGUGGUGAAUUCCAUCUAAAGCUAAAUAUUGGCGAGAGACCGAUAGCGAACAAGUACCGUGAGGGAAAGAUGAAAAGCACUUUGGAAAGAGAGUUAAACAGUACGUGAAAUUGCUGAAAGGGAAACGCUUGAAGUCAGUCGUGUCGUCCGGAACUCAGCCUUGCUUUCGCUUGGUGCACUUUCCGGAUGACGGGUCAGCAUCGAUUUUGACCGUCGGAAAAGGGCUGGAGUAAUGUGGCACCUCCGGGUGUGUUAUAGACUCUAGCCGCAUACGGCGGUCGGGAUCGAGGAACGCAGCGCGCCGCAAGGCAGGGGUUCGCCCACUUUCGCGCUUAGGAUGCUGGCAUAAUGGCUUUAAACGACCCGUCUUGAAACACGGACCAAGGAGUCUAACAUACCUGCGAGUGUUUGGGUGGAAAACCCGAGCGCGCAAUGAAAGUGAAAGUUGAGACCCCUGUCGUGGGGGGCAUCGACGCCCGGACCUGACGUUUUCUGACGGAUCCGCGGUAGAGCAUGUAUGUUGGGACCCGAAAGAUGGUGAACUAUGCCUGAAUAGGGUGAAGCCAGAGGAAACUCUGGUGGAGGCUCGUAGCGAUUCUGACGUGCAAAUCGAUCGUCAAAUUU